Molecule: small RNA, 1055 nt
Filed under: Pan troglodytes (chimpanzee)
Lineage: Eukaryota; Metazoa; Chordata; Mammalia; Primates; Hominidae
Description: retained intron
Source: RNAcentral
ACAGUGGCGGCCCAGGAUGAGUUCUACCGCAGCGGCUGGGCCCUGAACAUGAAGGAGCUGAAGCUGCUGCAGACCAUCGGGAAGGGGGAGUUCGGAGGUGAGCUGGGCCGGGCCGCCUGGGGGGGUUCUGAGGGACUCCGAACUUGGGAACAAGACCACCUCUCUGCCCCCAGACGUGAUGCUGGGCGAUUACCGAGGGAACAAAGUCGCUGUCAAGUGCAUUAAGAACGACGCCACUGCCCAGGCCUUCCUGGCUGAAGCCUCAGUCAUGACGCAACUGCGGCAUAGCAACCUGGUGCAGCUCCUGGGCGUGAUCGUGGAGGAGAAGGGCGGGCUCUACAUCGUCACUGAGUACAUGGCCAAGGGGAGCCUCGUGGACUACCUGCGGUCUCGGGGUCGGUCAGUGCUGGGCGGAGACUGUCUCCUCAAGUUCUCGCUAGAUGUCUGCGAGGCCAUGGAAUACCUGGAGGGCAACAAUUUCGUGCAUCGAGACCUGGCUGCCCGCAAUGUGCUGGUGUCUGAGGACAACGUGGCCAAGGUCAGCGACUUUGGUCUCACCAAGGAGGCGUCCAGCACCCAGGACACGGGCAAGCUGCCAGUCAAGUGGACAGCCCCUGAGGCCCUGAGAGAGAAGGUGGGGCUGGCCUCCCCUGGGGCCUACAGAGGUGGGCAGGAGUCCUGGGUCACUCCCCACCCCUGGAGUCCCAGGAUCUGACGCUGCUUCUUCCAUCCACAUGGCAGAAAUUCUCCACUAAGUCUGACGUGUGGAGUUUCGGAAUCCUUCUCUGGGAAAUCUACUCCUUUGGGCGAGUGCCUUAUCCAAGAAUUCCCCUGAAGGACGUCGUCCCUCGGGUGGAGAAGGGCUACAAGAUGGAUGCCCCCGACGGCUGCCCGCCCGCAGUCUAUGAGGUCAUGAAGAACUGCUGGCACCUGGACGCCGCCAUGCGGCCCUCCUUCCUACAGCUCCGAGAGCAGCUUGAGCACAUCAAAACCCACGAGCUGCACCUGUGACGGCUGGCCUCCGCCUGGGUCAUGGGCCUGUGGGGACUGAACCU